RNAcentral lists this ribosomal RNA (245 nucleotides) under uncultured bacterium. Its description in RNAcentral is "partial 16S ribosomal RNA". It matches the Rfam family "Bacterial small subunit ribosomal RNA", at positions 524 to 768 of the family's 1533-position model. The record is from RNAcentral.
UACAGAGGUCUCGAGCGUUGUUCGGAUUCAUUGGGCGUAAAGGGUGCGUAGGCGGCGUGGCAAGUCUGAUGUGAAAUCCCGGGGCUCAACUCCGGAACUGCAUUGGAUACUGCCAUGCUCGAGUACUGGAGAGGAGACUGGAAUUUACGGUGUAGCAGUGAAAUGCGUAGAGAUCGUAAGGAAGACCAGUGGCGAAGGCGAGUCUCUGGACAGUUACUGACGCUGAGGCACGAAGGCCAGGGGAG